This 306-nucleotide ribosomal RNA is filed under the name uncultured bacterium. RNAcentral's name for it is "bacterial SSU rRNA". It matches the Rfam family "Bacterial small subunit ribosomal RNA", at positions 29 to 320 of the family's 1533-position model. The record is from RNAcentral.
AGCGAACGCUGGCGGCGUGCCUAACACAUGCAAGUCGAGCGAGAAAGAGGACUUCGGUCCUUAAGUACAGCGGCGAACGGGUGCGUAACACGUGGGCAAUCUGUCCUCGGGAUGGGGAUAACCCAGCGAAAGUUGGGCUAAUACCCAAUAAGACCACGGAAAGUCAUUUCUGAGGUCAAAGGGUGCUUCUUUUGGGGGCACCCGCUAGGGGAGGAGCCUGCGGCCUAUCAGCUUGUUGGUAGGGAACGGCCUACCAAGGCAAAGACGGGUAGCUGGUCUGAGAGGAUGACCAGCCACACGGGGACU